RNAcentral lists this transfer RNA (77 nucleotides) under Laceyella sacchari. Its description in RNAcentral is "tRNA-Pro". It matches the Rfam family "tRNA". From Rfam's summary of the family: Transfer RNA (tRNA) molecules are approximately 80 nucleotides in length. Their secondary structure includes four short double-helical elements and three loops (D, anti-codon, and T loops). Lineage: Bacteria; Bacillati; Bacillota; Bacilli; Caryophanales; Thermoactinomycetaceae. The record is from RNAcentral.
CGGGAUGUGGCUCAGCUUGGUAGAGCACCUGGUUUGGGAUCAGGGGGUCGCAGGUUCGAAUCCUGUCAUCCCGACCA